Molecule: ribosomal RNA, 483 nt
Filed under: uncultured bacterium
Lineage: Bacteria
Description: bacterial SSU rRNA
Rfam family: Bacterial small subunit ribosomal RNA
Source: RNAcentral
UUGAACGCUGGCGGAAUGCUUUACACAUGCAAGUCGAACGGCAGCACGGGAGCAAUCCUGGUGGCGAGUGGCGAACGGGUGAGUAAUAUAUCGGAACGUGCCCGGUCGUGGGGGAUAACGUAGCGAAAGCUACGCUAAUACCGCAUACGAUCUACGGAUGAAAGCGGGGGAUCGCAAGACCUCGCGCGAUUGGAGCGGCCGAUAUCAGAUUAGGUAGUUGGUGAGGUAAAGGCUCACCAAGCCGACGAUCUGUAGCUGGUCUGAGAGGACGACCAGCCACACUGGGACUGAGACACGGCCCAGACUCCUACGGGAGGCAGCAGUGGGGAAUUUUGGACAAUGGGCGCAAGCCUGAUCCAGCAAUGCCGCGUGCAGGAUGAAGGCCUUCGGGUUGUAAACUGCCUUUGUACGGAACGAAACGGUGAGCUCUAAUACAGUUUGCUAAUGACGGUACCGUAAGAAUAAGCACCGGCUAACUACGUG